Molecule: unclassified non-coding RNA, 282 nt
Filed under: Hevea brasiliensis (rubber tree)
Lineage: Eukaryota; Viridiplantae; Streptophyta; Magnoliopsida; Malpighiales; Euphorbiaceae
Source: RNAcentral
CAGACAUAACGAUUACAACACAAAAUGGAGAUGACUAAAGAAGGAAUGCGACUAGGGUCAACCAUUUUAGUACUAUAUACUCUCUCAACCAAAUACGCGUAACUUCAGAGUUCUGAUGUGAACAAGACUCUACAACUUGCGCAAAAUCAAUGGAGCACCAUGUUGAGGUUGGAGAGUGAUGAUUGUAUGAGGAGCAUGUGAAUAAGAUGGAGAUAACUCAAGAGCAUAGUGUUGUAAAAUCAUUGCUAGUGCCAUUUUUGCCUCCAACAUAGCAAAAUUUUG